CGAAACCGAUAGCGAACAAGUACCGUGAGGGAAAGUUGAAAAGUACUCUGAAUAGAGAGUUAAAUAGUACGUGAAACCGCUUAGGGGUUAAGCCCGAUGAACCCGAAUAUCUGAUGUGAGAAAUUCAAUACGAUUCAAAUUCAUAUUUUUAUAUUGAAUUUGUAUAGUAUGCACUUUUCUCAUAGUAAGACAUUGUAAUCCAUUGAUAUUAUAUCUCAUUUGGGAUGAUUUAACAUACGGACAAAAUGUUUAUGAUUAUUCUGUCAGUGAUAUGUUUACAUGUCAUAUGAAUAAAAUCGUUUUGUUUCCUGUUUAAAUAGUCGAUGGAUUUUUCAUUGAAAUCAUGCUUGCAAUUUAUUUUGCGUUUCGUAUCAUUAAUUUUUAAUUUUUGAUAGCAGAAAUGGCAUGUAUUCGAUUAACAAUGCGAUAGAUUUGGGAUACUUUCAGGACCCGUCUUGA
RNAcentral lists this ribosomal RNA (459 nucleotides) under Dasineura crataegi. RNAcentral's name for it is "partial large subunit ribosomal RNA". It matches the Rfam family "Eukaryotic large subunit ribosomal RNA", at positions 329 to 657 of the family's 3401-position model. The record is from RNAcentral. Lineage: Eukaryota; Metazoa; Arthropoda; Insecta; Diptera; Cecidomyiidae.